CUGAGACCAUUAUGUGCAUCCCUGAGCUGGAAGUUGAGCCUAUCCUGUGGGAGGUGAAAACACUGCACAGCACAGCCCUCUGAAUAUGACAUGCUGAAGUGAAGACACCAAAGGAUGUUCUCUGCCACCCAUAGAUCUGUUUGAGUUGCAAGCUUUCUUGACACGACUUCAUCACCUAGUACUCACAUGGCUCCAGGAAAAGAGGCUCGAAGCUCAGCACACCCCUUUCCUUGCAGGGUUACUGUGGCUGGGAAGGUCGGUGAGGAUUUCAUCUGCCACCAGAGAGCACUGUAACUAUACGCUCCAGCCAGCCGGCCCAAUUUCCAGACCUGAAGGACUUGAGUGUAUUUUCUACUUAUUCCCACACCAAUAUAGCUUCACUUACAUCCUUCAAACAGCAUGGCUGGCAGCAAAGCUACCAAUGCUUUGA
Molecule: long non-coding RNA, 430 nt
Filed under: Anser brachyrhynchus (Pink-footed goose)
Lineage: Eukaryota; Metazoa; Chordata; Aves; Anseriformes; Anatidae
Description: lncRNA (ENSABRG00000000566.1)
Source: RNAcentral